UGGUUCACCUGUUAACCUGCGAAAAGUAUUAUAACCACUGUAUCAAUAAUUAAUUAAAGCUAGUUUAGUAAAUGCAGUGUAUCGAGUAAAAAGUGAUUUAGAGUUGCAUUAACAAACUGAUAAUUUACAGUUAAUGUCAACAUGUAGUCAUGUACACUAUAUGUGUUGAGGUGUAAAAGUAGUACUACUGAAAUAAUUAAUCUGAAUUAAUUUACUAAAUGCAAUGCAUAUUGGUGUAAAUAUAUGUUAAUUGAAUUUCGCUAAUUUACUAGUUCUUUUGUAGAGUUAAUAUUCAAUAGCAGAUCAUAUCUUCAAUUACUGAUGUUUUUUUAAACUAUUUUUUACUUUACCGCUUAAAACUUCUGGCAAAUAAACUUAUUUAUUUUCUAUCAACGCCAAUACACCAUUCAUAUACUUAUGACCAAAGAUUACCAAAUAUUCAAAAGAAUUCCAACAAAUCAGAAUAGAUCUCAAUUCAGAUUGGAUAGUCUUAAAAGCUUUUUCAUCCCUAACGUUUCCACCUUAAAAUGUU
This 532-nucleotide long non-coding RNA is filed under the name Brassica napus (rape). Its description in RNAcentral is "long non-coding RNA (BNAP_LNC020984)". Lineage: Eukaryota; Viridiplantae; Streptophyta; Magnoliopsida; Brassicales; Brassicaceae. The record is from RNAcentral.